This is a long non-coding RNA of Amphibalanus amphitrite, 1015 nucleotides long. RefSeq lists it as uncharacterized. The transcript is spliced from 3 exons. The record is from RefSeq and is a predicted model, not a curated record. Lineage: Eukaryota; Metazoa; Arthropoda; Thecostraca; Balanomorpha; Balanidae.
GCGUUAUACUGGUAACAAUAACAAGUCGAGAAAUAAACGUCCACAUGAGGAUAAGACAAGUUAUUUUAUAUUUCUUUGCUUACAAUUGCAAUGGUCAAGUCUACAAACAUCAAAAUACAGUGUAAUAAGUGGGCCAAUGGGAAUGCUCAAUGUCUAUGCAUUGCAAGGACAAAUUAUACCUCUGAGUUGCGUUUUUGUAAAUACCUUUUCACUAGCUCGUAAAGGGAAGUGCCUGAUUUGAUAUAGCAAAUGACAUGAUAACAAUAUUUCAAGCGAACAUGUCAGGAAGGUCACCGGCCUAAAUUUUUCCCAAGGUGCCUCAGAAUAUACCUUAUGCGCAUUAUUGUAAUUUUGCCAAACAGCUUUUGCUCCAUUUAGUAUUAACUAUGCAUAUGCAUGCCCUUAUUAAAAGGCAACACUAGGUUUCACGUUGAAGAAAAAUCAUUCAGUUGUUGGCCGAUACUAACGUAACUGCCAGAUAUAAACUAAUCCAGUGAUGGGUAAAGGCGAGGGAGGUGGUAUUGGAUGCCUCUUUUGGGGUCUAAUAUGGCUUCUGAUCUUGAUAUGGAUCAGUUUCUUCGUCGCGUGUUUCUGUGCCGGGUGGUAUAUUCUACUGUCGCCGAUUUCCGUCUGCAUUGAGCCUCUAUCGGCUAUAACGGAUAUUCUUUUAGCUGGUCUUCAACUACCGAAGACGUGUGCUCAAAAUAUGAUGGCCGGGAAGUCGCUAUUCUAAAGAAGUCAAAAGUGGAUGUGUUGUCGUCAUGUAGAGCCACCAGCAUCCAUCCAUCAAGCGUUGUUCUGCCUCGACGACCUGUGCCUCUAUGGCGGUCACAGCACACGGCACCCCAGGUCGGAUCCACUAAUUUUGUAAUUUGGUGUAUGAAGAGUCAGAGUGCAAGUUUGGUGUAAAUAAGUUGUGCGAGUGUUGUUCAUUGUUAUAUUUUCGAGAAGCUGUGAUAAUGUCACACAUGCAGUCGGUUACUGAAGUAAUAUACAUGUAAAGAUGUGCCCAAAA